Molecule: ribosomal RNA, 513 nt
Filed under: uncultured Alphaproteobacteria bacterium
Lineage: Bacteria; Pseudomonadati; Pseudomonadota; Alphaproteobacteria
Description: bacterial SSU rRNA
Rfam family: Bacterial small subunit ribosomal RNA
Source: RNAcentral
GGCGGCAUGCUUAACACAUGCAAGUCGAACGCUUCUCGGGGCUUCGGCCUUGAGGGGAGUGGCGCACGGGUGAGUAGCGCGUGGGAACCUGCCCUGGAGUGGGGGAUAACCGAGGGAAACUUCGGCUAAUACCGCAUGCGCCCGCUGGAGUGAUCUGGCGGGGAAAGAUUUAUCGCUCUAGGAGGGGCCCGCGUCGGAUUAGCUUGUUGGUGGGGUAACGGCCUACCAAGGCUUUGAUCCGUAGCUGGUCUGAGAGGAUGAUCAGCCACACUGGGACUGAGACACGGCCCAGACUCCUACGGGAGGCAGCAGUGGGGAAUAUUGGACAAUGGGCGCAAGCCUGAUCCAGCAAUGCCGCGUGAGUGAGGAAGGCCUUAGGGUUGUAAAGCUCUUUCGGCGGGGACGAUGAUGACGGUACCCGCAGAAGAAGCCCCGGCUAACUUCGUGCCAGCAGCCGCGGUAAUACGAANGGGGCGAGCGUUGUUCGGAUUUACUGGGCGUAAAGGGCGCGUA